ACCCUGGUAGUCCACGCCGUAAACGAUGUCAACUAGCCGUUGGGAGCCUUGAGCUCUUAGUGGCGCAGCUAACGCAUUAAGUUGACCGCCUGGGGAGUACGGCCGCAAGGUUAAAACUCAAAUGAAUUGACGGGGGCCCGCACAAGCGGUGUAGCAUGUGGUUUAAUUUGAAGCAACGCGAAGAACCUCCCCAGGCCUUGACAUCCAAUGAACUUUCCAGAGAUGGGUUGGUGCUUUCGGGAACAUUGAGACAGGCGUUGCAAGGCUGUCUUCAGCUCGUGUCGCGAGAUGUUGGGUUAAGUCCCGUAACGAGCGCCACCCUUGUCCUUAGUUACCAGCACGUAAUGGUGGGCACUCUAAGGAGACUGCCGGUGACAAACCGGAGGAAGGUGGGGAAGACGUCAAGUCAUCAUGGCCCUUACGGCCUGGGCUACACACGUGCUACAAUGGUCGGUACAGAGGGUUGCCAAGCCGCGAGGGGGAGCUAAUCCCAGAAAACCGAUCGUAGUCCGGAUCGCAGUCUGCAACUCGAUUGCGUGAAGUCGGAAUCGCUAGUAAUCGCGAAUCAGAAUGUCGCGGUGAACACGUUCCCGGGCCUUGUACACACCGCCCGUCCCCCCACGGGAGUGGGUUGCCCCAGAAGUAGCUAG
Molecule: ribosomal RNA, 650 nt
Filed under: Pseudomonas sp. AD14
Lineage: Bacteria; Pseudomonadati; Pseudomonadota; Gammaproteobacteria; Pseudomonadales; Pseudomonadaceae
Description: bacterial SSU rRNA
Rfam family: Bacterial small subunit ribosomal RNA
Source: RNAcentral